This 492-nucleotide ribosomal RNA is filed under the name uncultured bacterium. RNAcentral describes it as "partial 16S ribosomal RNA". It matches the Rfam family "Bacterial small subunit ribosomal RNA", at positions 29 to 507 of the family's 1533-position model. The record is from RNAcentral.
AGUGAACGCUGGCGGUAGGCCUAACACAUGCAAGUCGAACGGCAGCACAGUAAGAGCUUGCUCUUACGGGUGGCGAGUGGCGGACGGGUGAGGAAUACAUCGGAAUCUACUUUUUCGUGGGGGAUAACGUAGGGAAACUUACGCUAAUAUCGCAUACGACCUACGGGUGAAAGCAGGGGAACUUCGGACCUUGCGCGAUUGAAUGAGCCGAUGUCGGAUUAGCUAGUUGGCGGGGUAAAGGCCCACCAAGGCGACGAUCCGUAGCUGGUCUGAGAGGAUGAUAGGCCACACUGGAGCUGAGACACGGUCCAGACUCCUACGGGAGGCAGCAGUGGGGAAUAUUGGACAAUAGGCGCAAGCCUGGUCCAGCCAUACCGCGUGGGUGAAGAAGGCCUUCGGGUUGUAAAGCCCUUUUGUUGGGAAAGAAAAGCAGCAGGUUAAUACCCCGCUGUUCUGACGGUACCCAAAGAAUAAGCACCGGCUAACUUCGUG